Long non-coding RNA from Saccostrea cuccullata (small rock oyster), 1417 nucleotides. RefSeq lists it as uncharacterized. Lineage: Eukaryota; Metazoa; Mollusca; Bivalvia; Ostreida; Ostreidae. The transcript has 4 exons. The record is from RefSeq and is a predicted model, not a curated record.
AAUUUAUUUAAAGUCAAGGAAAGGACACUUGUAGUCCACAUAAACACAUACCGAUUGAAAACGGGCUUUUGUGAAAAAAAUUAUAAUGAAUGCACUGAUAGUUCUUUUUUUAAUCAGAGGUCUGCAAUGAAAAUCGACCGAUACCCGGGGGUCGGGCUAGUGGUUUUCUGCAAGAGGGUCGCCCCGUUGGCCAGUAAAAAAAGAUAAUAUUAUUUAUACACGUGCAAUACAUGCAAAGCACACCUGAGUUCAGAUACUGAAAGUGAACAUCAGUGGAACUUUGAUGAUCUAGGCCGCUCUAUUUUUGCAGCAACACCAUCAUGCGUCGGACAUUCAUAAAGUUGAAAGAACAAACCUAUGACUUGAACACACAAUUUGUGAUCUGAAUAUAGUUCACAAAUUUAAGGAAAGCAACUAUCAAAGACAUCCAGAUUGAUGGUAUACAUGAAGUAUGAAUGAAAGACUUUUCAGAAGAACAAGCACAAUCCCGAUUCAUUCUUGCCAUUGUCUUCUCCAGACGGUGACAUUUAGGACCUGACUUACUUUUCAGAAAAAGAAGAUGAAUCGAUUUUUGAUAGUUGAUCUUAAAAAGAUAACAUUUUCAGGGGUCGUGGAUUGAAUGACAUUUUCUUGCAAUCUCCCAUGCAGAGUUGUCAGGUGAAUGUAUGAGCCGAUGGUAGAGAGUGAUUUUCUUGAUGGGCAACUAGUUUCAAGUAUUUGGAUGUCUAUUCUCAAGUUACUGCAAACCUUAAAUUAACUUCUUGAUUAUUAGUUAAAUGUGAGACCGUUUCUUACUUGAAGUAAUCAUUUUUUGAAUUGAGCUAUGUAAUCUCUGAUUACUUAUGUUUAUGAGUAGUGUUCAGCUUUAAGACAAAAGGAUCUUUUAUGAACAUUGCAUUCGUCAUGGUGAAUUUCUAUACAUUAAGUAACAGUCAUAGUUUUCGUCUUUUUUAAUUAGCGAUCUCAUUUUAAAUGUGAGAAAUAAUUAUUAAACUGAAAUGUACAUUUAUGUUGUUUGAUUUUUAUUUUUUUGAAAAUUGUAAAUCAAUUGCAUGUUGUUGUUUUUUUUUUUUCAUUUUAUUUUAGGGGAUAGGAGUGGGGGUGCAGCUGUAAGUUUGAGUAUAUUUUCCAAAAGGAUGUACAUCGUUAUUUUUGUUUAAAUAUCAAUUUUAAAAUGCAAAAUGAUGAGAUAUUAGACUACACAUUUUUUCUUAAAACUUCAUUUAAAUUAAUAUAUUUUGUUUAAAAUAAGUAGCAACACCAUGCAAGUUUUAGAGUUAUUUGACAACUCACUAUAUACUUGUUUUUUUUUUUUUACAUUUAUGAAGAUUGUCUCAAAUUUUGAGGGUUUUUUUCUGUGUUCUACAUUUAUUGACAUGUUUCUUAUCUGUGUUCAUCUUGUCGAGUAAAUGAAAAG